UACGUAGGGUGCAAGCGUUGUCCGGAAUUAUUGGGCGUAAAGAGCGUGUAGGCGGCCAGGUAGGUCUGCUGUGAAAACCCGAGGCUCAACCUCGAGACGUCGGCGGAAACCAUCUGGCUAGAGUCCGGAAGAGGAGAGUGGAAUUCCUGGUGUAGCGGUGAAAUGCGCAGAUAUCAGGAAGAACACCCGUGGCGAAGGCGGCUCUCUGGGACGGUACUGACGCUGAGGAGCGAAAGCGUGGGGAGCAAACAGG
Molecule: ribosomal RNA, 253 nt
Filed under: uncultured bacterium
Lineage: Bacteria
Description: partial 16S ribosomal RNA
Rfam family: Bacterial small subunit ribosomal RNA
Source: RNAcentral